GUUACAUUUAAGCUAUUAUCACGUUAACAGUCAUACUGAGCUGACCAAUUUUGUUUCCUUCAAACCUGCACAAAGCUCUAAAGAUGGGCGUAUUGCCGACAGAUGAAACAAAGAACGUUUAUUUUGCGUCCUUUGAAAUAGCCAUUAAUAUUAUGUUAAUUGUGAAAAAUUACGCAGAUAUUAAUCACUAUUCGGAAUUCCAAACAAUAAGUAACUCAGACGAUCCAAAUAUUUUACAUUACCAAUUAACAUGGAAAAAUAAAUUGAAUUUCAUAUACGCUGUAAAAGGUCUUAUCAUAGGCCUAACAGUGGCAAUUAUUGUGUUUAAUGGGAUUUUGCUAAUUGGUAUAAUAAGGAAAAAGCUAAUUUUGAUUGACGUCUACUGCUUUGCUACACUAGCUUUUAUCAUUUCCCGUACGAUAUUAUAUGUAUUCGAAUUCGCACUUGUUGAGGCCUUGAAUAUGUACUCAGCAGUCUACCUUCUGAACAUUAUCUUUGUAUUACUCGACUUUAUGCUUUUUUUCGUCUUUACCGCAAUAAAUAAUUCCUGGGGAAAACCCGGAGAAUAUGCUACUUGGAACAUUUUAGAAUAAAUAAAUAUAGAAAAGUACUGUUUUUCUCUUCAAUUUGUUUUUCUCCAUUGACACCAGUUACUCAUCAACACCAUUUUUAAAGAACAGAGGUCAAACGGUCCAGGCCAAAAGUCAACAUCAGGCGAAAGGCUCAGUUGAUGUCAAGUCAUACCACCCAUAGACACUCAAUGCCAGAGGGCUAGCGUGUGCGUUGUCGUCCUUUUCAGAAUUGGUGCAUUCUUUUCUAGAAGGACCCUAAGUCGAGUUGUAAAGAAUUCUGUGGGCAGCUGGUUUCACAUAGUAGUAUUGCACAGCAACAACUGCCUUAAAAAUUUCUAAAUUGUGAAACGCUAUUUAUUUUAGAACCUAAUUAGGCUUCAGUUCAAUGGGUACAUAUAUUAUUGUGUCGGCAUGGUUUUGGCGUCAUUGAUCGAAAAUCCAGACAUCUCGACGCCUGGGCAACCCAAAGAGCAAAAACGUAGAUAUGGUAACAAACUUUAGAUCGAUUUAGAAAUGAAAUAAAAAAUUUGGCGUGUGACUGUCCUCUCUGAGAUUGUAUGUUCGAUCCUCGCUGUAUCGUGAUGAACUUUUUAUCUAUUAACACAUUUCAAAAUCAUUCAUACAGUGAAGGAUAACGUCGUGAGGAAACCAUCUGUGCUUUAGUACCAUAAAGACGACAUGUGCGUAGACAGCUACUCGCUUGUUUGAUAAAUUUAAUGACCGCGAAACACAUGAAAAAAGGCCUAAAAAGGGUUGUAUCGCAACUGUUUUUUGAAGUUAUAUAAAUAUAAUAAAUUCCAAUUUAUUCAUCCAAGGUUUCAUAUUAUGUAUGUGACAUAAGAUGUUAUUAAACGAUUUACCAAAUAAUAAUAAUAAUAAAGAUAUUGUUACCUCCGUUCCUUUGUGGACGAUACUGCAAAGCGGUUUGAGUAAAAGCUGCA
Long non-coding RNA from Pieris rapae (cabbage white), 1513 nucleotides. RefSeq lists it as uncharacterized. NCBI's taxonomy places the organism in Eukaryota, Metazoa, Arthropoda, Insecta, Lepidoptera, Pieridae. The transcript has 5 exons. The record is from RefSeq and is a predicted model, not a curated record.